GUUGUAUAGUCAAGUAAUUAAGUGCAUGUGGUGGAUGCCUUGGCAGUCAGAGGCGAUGAAAGACGUGAUAGCCUGCGAAAAGCUCCGGGGAGGCGGCAAAUAUCCUUUGAUCCGGAGAUGUCUGAAUGGGGGAACCCACCUACUUUAAGGUAGGUAUUGCAACAUGAAUACAUAGUGUUGCAAGGCGAACGAGGGGAAGUGAAACAUCUCAGUACCCUUAGGAAAAGAAAUCAAUUGAGAUUCCCUCAGUAGCGGCGAGCGAACGGGGAUCAGCCCAUUAAGUUAUGUGUGUUUUAGUGGAACGCUCUGGGAAGUGCGAACGUAGAGGGUGAUAUUCCCGUACACGAAAGGGCACACAUAAUGAUGACGAGUAGGGCGAGGCACGUGAAACCUUGUCUGAAUAUGGGGGGACCAUCCUCCAAGGCUAAAUACUCCUGACUGACCGAUAGUGAACCAGUACCGUGAGGGAAAGGCGAAAAGAACCCCUGUGAGGGGAGUGAAAUAGAUCCUGAAACCGCAUGCAUACAAGCAGUGGGAGCACCUUCGUGGUGUGACUGCGUACCUUUUGUAUAAUGGGUCAGCGACUUAUAUUCAGUAGCAAGGUUAACCGUAUAGGGGAGCCGUAGAGAAAUCGAGUCUUAAUAGGGCGUUUAGUUGCUGGGUAUAGACCCGAAACCAGGCGAUCUAUCCAUGAGCAGGUUGAAGGUUGGGUAACACUAACUGGAGGACCGAACCCACUGUCGUUGAAAAGCCAGGGGAUGACUUGUGGAUAGGGGUGAAAGGCUAAUCAAGCCUGGUGAUAGCUGGUUCUCCCCGAAAGCUAUUUAGGUAGCGCCUCGGACGAAUACCAUAGGGGGUAGAGCACUGUUUCGGCUAGGGGGUCAUCCCGACUUACCAAACCGAUGCAAACUCCGAAUACCUAUGAGUACUAUCCGGGAGACAGACUGCGGGUGCUAACGUCCGUAGUCAAGAGGAAAACAAUCCAGACCGCCAGCUAAGGCCCCAAAAUCAUAGUUAAGUGGGAAACGAUGUGGGAAGGCAUAGACAGCUAGGAGGUUGGCUUAGAAGCAGCCACCCUUUAAAGAAAGCGUAAUAGCUCACUAGUCGAGUCGGCCUGCGCGGAAGAUGUAACGGGGCUAAAACUAUGUGCCGAAGCUGCGGAUNNNNNNNNNNNNNNNNNNNNNNNUGCUGGAGGUAUCAGAAGUGCGAAUGCUGACGUGAGUAACGACAAAACGGGUGAAAAACCCGUUCGCCGAAAGACCAAGGGUUCCAGUCCAACGUUAAUCGGGGCUGGGUGAGUCGACCCCUAAGGCGAGGCCGAAAGGCGUAGUCGAUGGGAAAAUGGUUAAUAUUCCAUUACUUCUGUGUAAUGCGAUGAGAGGACGGAGAAGGCUAAAUCAGCCUGGCGUUGGUUGUCCAGGUGAAAGGAUGUAGGCAUGUAUCUUAGGCAAAUCCGGGGUACUCUAUGCUGAGAUCUGAUAGCAAGCUGUACUUGUACAGCGAAGUGGUUGAUGCCAUGCUUCCAGGAAAAGUCUCUAAGCUUCAGUUACACAGGAAUCGUACCCGAAACCGACACAGGUGGUCAGGUCGAGUAGACCAAGGCGCUUGAGAGAACUCUGCUGAAGGAACUAGGCAAAAUGGUACCGUAACUUCGGGAGAAGGUACGCUGUUGUUGGUGAUGGAACUCGCUUCCUGAGCUGACGACAGCCGCAGAAACCAGGCCGCUGCAACUGUUUAUUAAAAACAUAGCACUCUGCAAACACGAAAGUGGACGUAUAGGGUGUGAUGCCUGCCCGGUGCUGGAAGGUUAAUUGAUGGGGUUAGCGUAAGCGAAGCUCUUGAUCGAAGCCCCAGUAAACGGCGGCCGUAACUAUAACGGUCCUAAGGUAGCGAAAUUCCUUGUCGGGUAAGUUCCGACCUGCACGAAUGGCAUAAUGAUGGCGGCGCUGUCUCCAGCAGAGGCUCAGUGAAAUCGAAAUCGCUGUGAAGAUGCAGUGUACCCGCGGCUAGACGGAAAGACCCCGUGAACCUUUACUGCAGCUUGACACUGAACUUUGACCUUACUUGUGUAGGAUAGGUGGGAGGCUUUGAAGCUGGAACGCUAGUUCCAGUGGAGCCGUCCUUGAAAUACCACCCUGGUAAUGUUGAGGUUCUAACUCUGUCCCGUGAUCCGGGACGAGGACCGUGUCUGGUGGGUAGUUUGACUGGGGCGGUCUCCUCCUAAAGAGUAACGGAGGAGUACGAAGGUGCGCUCAGCGUGGUCGGAAAUCACGCGUAGAGUAUAAAGGCAAAAGCGCGCUUAACUGCGAGACCCACAAGUCGAGCAGGUACGAAAGUAGGUCUUAGUGAUCCGGUGGUUCUGUAUGGAAGGGCCAUCGCUCAACGGAUAAAAGGUACUCUGGGGAUAACAGGCUGAUACCGCCCAAGAGUUCAUAUCGACGGCGGUGUUUGGCACCUCGAUGUCGGCUCAUCUCAUCCUGGGGCUGAAGCAGGUCCCAAGGGUAUGGCUGUUCGCCAUUUAAAGAGGUACGCGAGCUGGGUUUAGAACGUCGUGAGACAGUUCGGUCCCUAUCUACCGUGGGCGCUGGAAAUUUGAGAGGAUCUGCUCCUAGUACGAGAGGACCAGAGUGGACGAACCUCUGGUGUACCGGUUGUGACGCCAGUCGCAUCGCCGGGUAGCUAUGUUCGGAAGGGAUAACCGCUGAAAGCAUCUAAGCGGGAAGCCUACCUCAAGAUAAGAUUUCCCUAGGACUUUAUGUCCUCUAAAGAGCCGUUCGAGACUAGGACGUUGAUAGGUUGGAUGUGGAAGCAUAGUGAUAUGUGAAGCUGACCAAUACUAAUUGCUCGUGAGGCUUGACUAUACAACACCCAAGCAGUUG
This 2879-nucleotide ribosomal RNA is filed under the name Acinetobacter baumannii. RNAcentral's name for it is "23S ribosomal RNA". It matches the Rfam family "Bacterial large subunit ribosomal RNA". The record is from RNAcentral. Lineage: Bacteria; Pseudomonadati; Pseudomonadota; Gammaproteobacteria; Moraxellales; Moraxellaceae.